ACUUAACUGAAGAGUUUGAUCAUGGCUCAGAUUGAACGCUGGCGGCAGGCCUAACACAUGCAAGUCGAGCGGAUGAGAGGAGCUUGCUCCUCGAUUCAGCGG
The sequence is a ribosomal RNA, 102 nucleotides long. It matches the Rfam family "Bacterial small subunit ribosomal RNA", at positions 1 to 98 of the family's 1533-position model.